UACGGAGGGUGCGAGCGUUAUUCGGAAUUACUGGGCGUAAAGCGCGUGCAGGCGGAAGGAGCAGUCUGAUGUGAAAGCCCGGGGCUUAACCCCGGAAGAGCAUUGGAAACCAUCCUUCUUGAGUGCUGGAGAGGAAGGGGGAAUUCCCGGUGUAGAGGUGAAAUUCGUAGAGAUCGGGAGGAAUACCAGUGGCGAAGGCGCCCUUCUGGACAGUCAAACUGACGCUGAGACGCGAAAGCGUGGGGAGCAA
This 250-nucleotide ribosomal RNA is filed under the name uncultured bacterium. Its description in RNAcentral is "partial 16S ribosomal RNA". It matches the Rfam family "Bacterial small subunit ribosomal RNA", at positions 524 to 771 of the family's 1533-position model. The record is from RNAcentral.